GGUCAAGCUAACUCAGAGCUGACGGUGGAU
This 30-nucleotide ribosomal RNA is filed under the name Phormidium sp. KS. RNAcentral describes it as "partial 23S rRNA". Lineage: Bacteria; Bacillati; Cyanobacteriota; Cyanophyceae; Oscillatoriales; Oscillatoriaceae. The record is from RNAcentral.